GAUGAACGCUGGCGGCGUGCCUAAUACAUGCAAGUCGAGCGAACAGACGAGGAGCUUGCUCCUCUGACGUUAGCGGCGGACGGGUGAGUAACACGUGGAUAACCUACCUAUAAGACUGGGAUAACUUUGGGAAACCGGAGCUAAUACCGGAUAAUAUAUUGAACCGCAUGGUUCAAUAGUGAAAGACGGUUUUGCUGUCACUUAUAGAUGGAUCCGCGCCGCAUUAGCUAGUUGGUAAGGUAACGGCUUACCAAGGCGACGAUGCGUAGCCGACCUGAGAGGGGGAUCGGCCACACUGGAGCUGAGCCGCGGCCCAGACUCCUAGGGGAGGCAGCAGUGGGGAAUCUUCCGAAAGGGGGGAAAGCCUGAGGGAGCACCGCAGCGGGGUGGAAGAAGGGCUUGGGGUGGGAAAACUUUUUUAUGAGGGAAAAACAAAUUGGGAAGUAACUAUGCAGGUCUUAGCGGAACCGAAAAAAAAAGCCCCGGCAAACUACGU
Molecule: ribosomal RNA, 496 nt
Filed under: uncultured bacterium
Lineage: Bacteria
Description: partial 16S ribosomal RNA
Rfam family: Bacterial small subunit ribosomal RNA
Source: RNAcentral